CGUGUCUAUUUCAUUUAGUCAGAAGACUUCUACAGUGUUAUUCAAAGCCACUUUCACAGAUUUGCAUCUAAGCGCCAUUGCUGAGAGUUCUCUCCCUCCCCCAAUCCUCAGCAAAAAUACAUCAUGUUGGCUUUGUUAAUGGUGAAAUAUUUAGUACACUUAACCUCAGUUUCUUUUAGUGUUUUGAUGACUGCUGCCCUGCUUUCUUGCCAUGAUGAAGUGCUGGGGCUGGAGCUCCUUGUCAGAGGACUUUGCAAUAUGAAGUGAGCAGGUGCAGCCCACAGGGGCUGUGUAACCAAGGUGCUGCCAUCUGGUCUAGGGCAGAAACCUGCUGAACCCAGUAUCCUGGUUUCAAAGCAAGGAGAAGUUGCAGCGAGUUUUAUACUGAGCAUGUGAGAAAUAGGAGGGCUGUUCCCAAAGUAAUGCCUCCUGUUUUGUAAUGUUGGCACAUGACAUCAGAGGCGGAUGUUGGUGGUAUGGCAGUAGAGGCUGAACCUUCCCAUCGACAUCCUGUUACCUGUUGUUGCCAUGUGACAGAUGGCAGCAGAGGGGCAGUCUGACAGAAUGGCAUCUGACACUGAAAUGUGUAUGAAGCAAUGGAGUGUCACUGAGUUCCUUCGUGUGGAAAAAAAAACGGUACCCACUGACAUUCAUCAUAGAAACACAGAAUCAUAAAGUUGGAAAAGACUUAAGAUGAUCUUGAUCUGAACCUGGGGGAGGUUCAAGCUGGAUAUCAGGAACAAAAUUCUUCUCCAAAAAUGUGGUGAGGCAUUGCAACAGGCUGCCCAGGGAGGUGGUGGAGUCACCAUCCCUGGAGAUGUUCAGGGAAAGGAAAUGUGGCACUGAGGGACGUGGUCAGUGGGCACGGUGGGGAUGGGCUGAUGCUUAGACUAGAUAGAUGAUCUUAGAGGUCUUUUCCAGUGUUAGUGAUUCCAUGAUUCUAUGUUUCUAUGAUUCUGUGUUUCCCUAUUCUGGCAAGGAGAGCAGUGGCACAGUGUGAUGGGUAACACGGGGUUUUAUGGCCAAGUGAAAUAAUGGAUGUUGGAGUGGAGGUUACAGUGUAAACAUGCACUCAGAUACCAGAGUAAUGAACAUAGCAUAAAUAUUUAGAUGUGUUCCUACAUCUAAUUCUUGGCCUCAUAAUUCUCGUGUCAAAUAGUUUAUAAAAGGCAAAACUGUAUUUCAGUUACAGGUUCGGCUUCAUAAUUCUUAAGGUUAAUUAAGGCAGCCAAAUGUGCUUCAUGCCUGUCUGCUGUGGCUGUGUAGCUGUACAGAGUUGUGUAUCAUUAAAGGCUUUUCCUAUCAGUGACUGUAACAACAGUGACUAUCAGCACAUAUGUAUCUUAGUGUUUAGCCUAGGUGACAAGCAGCAGCAAUGUGCACUGUCCCUAUGUCUCAGAUAAACAUAAUGUCACUUGUGUGUAUGCAGCAAGUAAAGGAAGAGUUAAUGACGGCUUUAGAUCCUGAUACAUGAUGUGAACACAACUGGAACACAGGUAGCACAGAAACAGUGUGUGCCCCGAUGCCAACCUGUGCCUACUCCUCCCUCCUUCAGCUGCCCCUUGCUGUGCUCUCUGGGGACAGUGAAUAUCUCCCAGGCUGGGGCUGGCAGGGAGCAGGAAUAUCUCUGGUAGGGCUGCAUGGACAGGCCAGCAUCACACCACAGGGCAUCUCCUGGGGCCUGAGGCUGGGCUGCUCCUGAUGUCUCAGUGCCUCCUACUUGGGAUUAGAUGAGUGCCAGGCAAGGAAUCCCCCGCUGCCAGGGGAAUCCCAGCCUGGCACUUCACAGUGUUUUUAAGGAUGGCAAGGAGCCUUAUCGAGCCUCUACAUCUGCCCCAGAUGCUUUACAUUCCAGUGAUGUGCCACAGAUGUGCUGAACCCUACAGCACAAAGACUACAGCAUCUCACUGUCCCCAGGGCCAGCAGUUGCUGGUAGGCUCCAUCCCAGACACAGUGGACAGGAGCAGCGUCGUUGCCAAAGAUGUCCCAUGGAGUCAAUAGCAGGUGACACAGCCCUGCCCCUCACCUGUGUCAGCUGGACCACGCGUUGGGUGCCUCCUGUGCAGGGAACAGCAAAGUUCAGGCAAACAGAAGGGAGAGGAGGAGUGUUUUCCAGCCUGGCAGCUCUGAGAGUGCAUUGAGAGUCCAUCGUUGGGUUUCAGCUUGAGUUGCUCUGCAGUGGGGCGUGCCCUGGGGAGCAACCUGCUCCCAAAGGACUCAAUAAUUCAGCAUAUCAUCCUCCCAAGUGCUGGUGUCUCUCACCCCAGUGUUUCACCACUUCAUCGCUGCAUCAACGCAAUUCAUGCCCCAUCACUCUAUCUCCCAUUUCUUGGUGUUGCGCCCUUUUGGGGCUUCUUUCUCUUUAAGAGGAAACUCGGCGGAAGCCGAGCUAUUCAAUAUUGUUUCGUAUUAUUUGGUUGUGAAACAAUUUAAUUUGUUUAUGGCUCUAAAGGUCAGAUUUGACUGUUACCCAAAUUUCUGAAGAAUAAAGAAUGAAUCAGGCUGAAGGGGACUUUGUGGCAUGAUAAAACGGAGAAAGAGAAGGGGGCUAGUGAGAAUAUUUAACUGGAACAGCAAGGCAAACUUACCUUCAGCUCAGGUUUAAAAGCCUAGUCAAUCAUUAGACAUUUUUUAUUAUUUACCUGGUACAAAAUCCCCCCAGGAGAAGAAGUAGAAAAACUCACAGGCCACAUUCUUGCAAAUUUUAGUAGCUUGCCCAACAUUUUUUUUUUUUUUUUUCUUUUUCUUUUCUGUGAUUCAGAACAAUUUGAGUGGUACAGAUCACAUAGGUGCAUUCACAGAUCAGAAACAAGGAGGAAGCGCACGGUGGUUGCGGAUCCAAGCAGGGGAUGUUUGUAACAGUGAUGAGAGCAGGGCCAGCCCGGGACUUUGAGAAGGAAGGUGAUUCUCACACAGUGAGCAGAAGACAAAGGUUGCAUUUACACCUGGCCAGAGGUUUAAUCAUCUACCAUUUCCAAACAUUGCAGGCUCACAGUCUGUUGUGUCUGAGAUCAUAAAACAUAUCACAAACUGGAGACAAGAAAGCUGGGGCUUGAUUGACCAGAGCUUAUCUUUUCUUUUUCCUACUUCUUAUUUUUCACUCAAUUUUCUGAUUAAAAAAAAAAAGAAAGAAAGAAAGAAAGAAAGAAAGAAAGAAAGAAAGAAAGAAAGAAAGAAAGAAAGAAAGAAAGAAAAAAAAGGAAAAGAAAAAAAGAACAAGAGAGAGAAAAAAAAGCAUUUUCAAAAGGACUUGUGAUCCCUAAAUGCUUACCUGAUACAGCAGAAAACACGAUGCAAAGUAAUUCUGAAAACCAGGGAGGAUUUCUAUUCCUCUCUGCCUCCCCACUCCAGGUGCUGGGGAGCCCACCUGGCUGCCCAAAGCUCCAUCCCAGGUUUUCAGGGAGAAGAGAAACUGAGGAAAAGUGACCAAAAGGUGGAGAGAAAUAUUCAAAGAGGAAUGGGUAGAAGCCUCUCUCAUGGAUUAGUUUUCCAGGUCCUAACAUAACAACAUCCAACACUGAACCAUCUGAACCUGAAUCUGUAGGCAGCUUUCGUCUUUUUUUUGGUGUGUGGAUGUUUGAAUUAUGGCAAUGUUUUAAGGAGAAUCUGGAUGUGAUGGGAGGGGUUUUUUUUGUUUUUUUUUUUUGAAACGUUUGCAGCAUUUUUGCACUUCUUGUAUGCAGUUGGUUUCUUCUGAUCUCGUAGCCCAGCACUGCCAGUGAGGCUGGCAGGUCUGUUGGGCAAGACCAGUGACUCCCAUGGCAAAGAGAAGCCAUUGCUGUUUCCUUCUCCUGAUGGCCUCUGCAGGGUCAUUGCCCUUAGCUGAGCAACUGCAGCCAGGCUGUGGGCAGGAGCGGGGACUUAAAGCACAUGGGGUUUCCCACUGAUAGUUGUGAUGGGCUGUAGGAGUGUGGAAUGACCAGGGCAUGGCCACAGCUGUCAUCCCUCCUGAGGGCUGGGCCUGCGGUGUUCAGGAGGGACCUGGAAGAGGGGAUGUUCCUUUGCACCUCAUUUGGGUGCUUCAGUGCUGAUUCAUCAAAGCACUUAGCGCCAGGAGGAGGAACCCGCCCUGUUGGGAUGAAGGUUUGCACUGCUGACUUCAAAGGGGGCCCGAUUUAACCCUUUAACUUCAGUGGGGUUUGGGACCCUGUUUGAAGGUAAGCACAUGAUACUGCAGGGUUGGAAGGGGACAUAAAUACCUUGAAGGUCUUGAGUGUCAUCAUCAUGGUGCCUUUGUGUGUGUUCUGCCUGCCAGCUCUGUAACCACUUCAGAAAACGGGGUGGGAGCAAUGGGAGCUUCCCCAAGACAAGCUCAUCAAUCAAAGCAGGAUGGAGGGCCAUCUGCCCCUGGCAUGGCCAGGUGCCCUCAGGGUGUCCCUUGCCUUCCUGGGGCUGCCCUCGACCUGAUAAGGAGAGUGACAUCUUUGAUGUCACCUGGGGCAGCAGUCACACACAAUUGCAUAAUCAAGGUCGCAGGAAAAUUACACAAAACUUUGCCCACAUCUAUUGGAAAAAUCUGAAGCACUUGCAAAAAGAAAAAAAAAAAAAAAAGAAGAAGAAAAAGAAAAAGAAAAACCCUAACCCCAAACUCCUAUCCAUGCCACCACGCUGGAUGGAACGCUGCAGUGCUGAGCUUUCCCUUUACCAUACCCUAGAAGUUUUAAUGAAAAAAUGUAAUAUGGGCAUAAAGGCAAUUAAAAGUUCUCACUGACAGCCACAUGAACUCAGCUCUGUGGUUUUCCCUCUCUCCCCUUCAGAUAAAGUUUCAAUUACACCAUGAUAAUGUGUGAAUAUAAGACGCAAUCAUCUCAUACUUCGCAUUGCUGAGUGCUGUCUGUCUGAGGAUUUUAAGGGGUGAAUUGGGUUUCACGUGCCCUCAGGAGCUACCGAGUAUUUGCGAGGCUGCUUGCAAAAAAUGAAAUAGCUACUUUGAGAAUUUGUACAUGAAAAUAAUGAGAAGAAUUUUCGGAAUGUGUCUUGGAGAAAUUUCUGCUCUUCCGUCUUCCCCAUGUUGAUAAAAUUUACAUUGAAAAUCACUUCCCCCCUUCCCCCCCCCCCCCUUUGUUUCUUGCUGUUUUGUCCUAUCAUAUUUCUUUUUUCUUCUUUCUUUUUUCUUCUUUCUUUUUUUCUUCUUUCUUUUUUCUUUUUUCUUCUUUCUUUUCUCCUCUCUUGUUUGUGACAAAAAGCAAGUCAUGGAGGCAGCUUACAACCAAGACAUCUGUAGCAUGAAAGAGGCCAGGACUAAAAAGCGAAGCAAGAGAAGAAAAACUGAAGACAUUUUACAGAAUAACUAAGAAAAAGCUUUAGAAAGCUUAUGAAGCCCAUAAGGCCUCAUAGGUGCUGAGGGGGCCACAGGCCCAGAGCUGUUUGCCCAGCUGGGCAGGUGAGAGCCCAGUUUCCCAGCUGCCCCCAAGCGCUCUCGUCUCCUGGUGAUUCAGUGGCACGUCAUGGUAUCAGAUACAGGAUGAGGCUGUCUGCAACACCCGUCUUUCCUCUCUCUGUCACUCAAUUGGAGACAAUGAGCGACAUGCCAGAGAUUUUACAUCACCAAAAUCGGUGUGGCGCAAAGGUCCAGGCGGAGUUGCACAAUGCAUCAUGAUGCCUCUUCAGAACUCUCAAGUCUUUAAGUCUUAAGGCUGAAACGUGCAUUUCUGACUUGACUCUCUCAUGGCAUAGUACUGUCCCUGUAUUCUGAGUGGGUUCCUUCCAAAUUCUGAUCUGCUGAAACUCUCCUCAAAGCCUCUCCCACCUUCACUGACUGUUGGUAUUUCUGGUCAUGAGAAUAUUAAGACAGAAUCUUUUAGCUUCUUCCACAGACCCACAUAAAUUAAGAGCUCAAAAUAUCAUCUGCUACUCCACUGCUUUAUAAGCUCUCAAGUUGAGACGUGCCAGAAAUGAUCUUUUAUCCUGACUGCAGAAAGAGCUCAGUCUUUUUGACUUUCACAUCAUACCUGGAAGAAUGACUUACAUCUGUCUUCCUAACUUUAGAAGUCCAGUGAGCUCUUUCCCCCACUUUGGGGACAACUGAGGAAGCUGUUAGUAAACAUCCACAUUGCUUUCCUAUGCCCUGUCAUCUGAAAGACUGUUCCCCUUAAUCACAUCCAUAAACCAGGUAGCUUAAUGAUAGUACAGGAGUUUAGGUGUGAACACAAUUCAUCCUUAUUGAGUUUGCAUUGUGCUUUAGAGAACAACAGCAACAACAAAAGUUGGUCCAAGUGGGCCACCCAGAGCAGGAUGCCCAGGCCCAUGUCCAGGUGGCUUAUGAAGGUCUCCAAGGAGGAGCUUCUGGGCAGCCUGUGCCAGUGCUCUGUCACCCGCACAGCACAGAAAUGCUGCCUGGUGUUCAGUGGGAACUUCUUGUGUUCCAAGCUGUGUUCAUUGCUGCUGGCUCUGGGCACCACUGGAAGGUGCACGGCCCCAUCCUUUUUGCUCCUUGCCUUCAGGUAUUUAUAGGCAUUGGUGAGAUUCCUUGGAGCCUUCUCCUGGCUGAACAGCUUUACCUCUCUCAGCCUCUCCUCACAGGAAAGGUGCUCCAGCCCCAGUGCCAUUUUCACGGCCCUUCAUUGGACUCCCUUCAGUAUGCCCAUGCCUCUUGCAUUGGGGAACCCACAACCGAACCCAGCACUCCAGGUGUGGCCUCACCAGUGCUGAGCAGAUGGGAAUCAACAAGAAUCUGGUGAAACCCGCUCCUGACUCAUGGGAGCGGCUGGAUGGCUGCAGGGCCAUCAAAAGGAUACAGGGCUGGAAAACCAAUAAAUCCAGCAAGGCCUCUUGGCUGCUUUGUGCAGAGAUGUAACGGCACCGGCUGGAGUAUACUGCUCCUUUACAUACCUUGAGCGGCUGCUGUCACCCGCAGAACAUUUCUUGUAUCAGCAGAACUGCUCAUCGGCUAUAAUUUUUGUUGAAAUAUCUCGCUUUAAACUUAGAGAGCACCAAUGGAGGCCUCAAAUCUGUAAAUCAGCUGCACUUUGGAAAACAAAUCAUCGCGGUGGAGUUUUGCCAAGCUAAUAUUCUGUGAUCAUUCAUUAUUUGGUUUUCACUUUCUGAGCUGAUUUAAAAAGGCCGUGCUCUAACUGUACCAGUGGCCUCCAAGAUAUGAGCCUGAUUUACACUUUGAAAAUGUGAGCGGCCCCGUGGCUGUGUUUCUAGGAUGAGGAUGUGCUAUGGUGAGGACUUUCGGGGCAGCAAACACAGUACCUGUGGACAAGAUCUUGCAGGUUACUCCUACUUACCUGCUUGGCCUAGUAAAGUAUUAUCACUGACACAAGCGGUGACUUUUCCAUGUGCUACAGCAAUAGUGGUGACUGCCAGAGAAAAGAUGGUAAGACGUCUUCCACUGUGAUUUCCUAGUGGGACUUUGUGAGAAACUACGAUGGAAUAAGCAUCUACAAGAGUAAAGCAACACCUGUAAAAAGGAUAACAGAUGAGGUGUAAUGGGGACGUGGCAUUCACAUCUACGGUCCAGAAAAUGGAAAGGGUGAAGAGGAAGCACCAUGGGAAGGAUGAGAAGAAACCAAUGAAAUUAAAUGCUUAUUUAAGAAGCCAAGCAAAACACAGCUCAGUGAAACCAGGCCACUGGCCAGGUGUGGUUUCACCAGCACUGAGGACAGCAAGGGCUUUUAGCUUUUUUUCUUGGGUUUGGGGCUUUCUUUGGUUCUGGUGCUUGCUAUGGUAUUGCGGGGCAGAUCUGGUUAAAAAGAAAAAGUAAAAAUAAUAGUGAUUCAAACAUUUAUCCCGAAUCAUAAAUAAAUGUUAUUAACCUUGGUUAGAUUCUUAGCAGAAAUCAACCUACUAGGAAAAUUUUCUGAGUUUUCAGACUUCUAAACACUUCUUCUUUUUCUCUGACCAGAAACACAGGGAAGAAGGGGAGAUCAGAUUUUUUUAAUCGCCAUAGAAAGCCAGAGCUUUAACUUUGUUCUGGUCACAAAUAACAAAAUAUGGAAGUUGAAUUGCUGUUCCAUCCUAUUUUUUUGCAGUUCCUGUAAGUGUGUGCAAUUAGACAGGCUUUGAGACGAGCUCCAGAUUCUCCUUCCUUGCUCGUGUGAAAACCUUUCAGGGCUUCCUGGAGGUUAUUACAAUAAUGCUAUAGUUGCAUGUUAACAAAUACCUACCACUUCCAAGAACACAGCUAUUUACACGUCACAGGCUUUUUAAAAAACAAAGGGUCUUUCUUCAAAGGAAAAUGGGCUUCCUUGUUAUUAUUGCUGCAUCCUUGUUUCCCCGUCUUGGUGUACAGGCAAAACUGGCAUACAGGAUUUCUGCCUUGUGUACAGAAACAUAAAAUUUAGAUCUGGACUAUGUGUAUGGCUGAAAAAAAAGUUGGGAUUAUAAAAUUCUCACAUUUCAUAUUUGCCGUGGCAUAGGAUUAAGGAGAUUUAAAACAGAUGAACAGAUUCACGUAAGAACAAUUGUUAUACCUUCUUUCACUUAUAUCCUCUUUAAAUUUAUUGUGUUGCCAGAAGCAGAAUGAAGAAGCCUUUGUGUAGACUCGCAUCAGGUCUCCCAUGCUAAGAUUGCAUUGACCUUCACGAGGUGCCUGGAGGAGCAACUGCUGGAGUUGACAGGACCCUGUGUAUGCCAGCGUCUGUGGAGGUUCAGCAGGCAGCUCACUGCAGACAUCCAGUCCUUGUGCAUACAAACACAGCAUUUGGUGCUUUUCCAGGGAAGACACCAGCUUGCAGGAAACCACUGAAAUGUGUGUAGCAAUUUUCCUCUCAUUUUUACACUCAGUGAGAAAUCAAAUUCUCUUAUGUGAGUGGAGCAGGCAUCUGCAAUUUUUUGAUGCACUAAGCGUAACAGUAAUGUUAACCACCCCAUCUGGUAAUCUGAGUGAUAACAACAUCGCCUCAGCUCUGAUGUUCCUGCUGGUACUGCAGUUCGUGUCAUUGCCAUUAGUAGCAUGUGCCCACCAUCCUCUUCCUACAGAGCUGGUUGGAGUUUGGGACAUAUCCUUUUAGAGCCUCAUCCCUUGAGGCGUUGUUAUCUGCAUCUCAACCUCUCCAUCCCCAUUGGAGCUGCAUCUUCCUACCAUCUUUUACCACUUCCAAGAAAUCGUCCUGAUGAGGCAUCCAGGAAUGGGAUGUGGUGCCAGGGGCACUGCGAGCUCCCCAAUAGGACUGUUGCCUGCAUUUUACAAGUAGGAGCAGCAUUGUGCAAGGGCAGAUGGCCGAACCUGCAGAACUAGUUUCAGCCAUAAAUGCUCGGAGCACCCUGAAUGUUUGGUGGCUUUUUUUUUUCUUCUUCUUCUUCUUCUUCUUUUUUUUUUUUUUUUUUUUUGAAGGCUGAAAUAUAUUUGGGAAGUACUUGUUCAAACUACAGAGCCAGUCAAAUAUUAACAAGUGGAAACUGAGGGGAAAAAAAAAAAAAAGAAAAAAAAAGAGAUACUUUGAAGGGCUGAAACUUGUGUGGGUUCUUGCUGUAUUUGCCAAACUACAAUCACUGGGGCCACACUUGCGACAGGCUAAAACGCUGCUGUGAAUAGAAAGUACAUCAUAAGGGUUCUCAAAUACGAAAGUGGGGCUGGAACAAAGGGCAGGCACCAGACAGACUUCCCCUGUUACGAUUACCAGCGUGUCACCCUGGUGCCAGCAGUCUGGUGGCGGCAGCGGGCGGCCACCUCGCGCCGAACGCCACCGGGCAGCUCUGAAACCCUGCACAGCCCCGCUCUGUGUGCAGCCUCGGUGCAGCAGAAAGAGUUUUAUCUCCCCUGUUCGGAGAGUGUUUGCUUUAAAGAUGAUCUACCACAAUUGACCAUUACCGAAUUUCCUAAAUUGAGCCCGAGGCUUGGUUGCUAUUCCGUAAGGUGCUGUUGCAGAGCAGUGUGCAGGAGGUGUGUUAAUCGAUGGGUAGCAUCUCCGAUACAACACCUACAGGUCAGCAGUGCACAUGACCCAUUUGGGUGCUGAUGAGAUUUCUUCACUAAUAGUGCUGCUGGUUCCAGUGCUGCGCGAAUGCUCUUCCUCCGCUUGAAUGGGAGGCAAUACAAAGACGCAUUGUUUCAUGUAUAUUUUGUUGGGAAAAUUACCAAACAUUUAUAUUAGAACAUUUGACAACGGUGUCAACAACAUUUCCCUGGGCUGCUGCUUAAUAUACCUUAAUUAUUAGUUUUCCACGUGGUGGCUCUUUUAAUCUGUUCUUAUUAAACUCUUCCACGUUCCACUAAUAUUGUCGCUGUGUUUCUUUUGAAGGAAACAAGUGUGUGUACCGAAAGAUUAGAUUAUCCUGCCCCUUUCUGGGGGCAGAAAUGUCUUCAAAAUGAAGUACAUCAAAAGUAAAAGUAGGUGACAAAUGUUAAUAUUUGCAAAGUGCUUCUGCUUUGAUCCCGCAUUUCUAUUUUUUUAAGAGUUUGACAAAUGUGUCCUGUGGUUUGGCUUCAAACCUCUUUGCCCAGCGCUUUACUUGACCCACAACCCAUUUGAUCUUCCACUUGUUUUUUCUUCUGUCCAGGAGGCCUCCGGACUCGAUAAAGGACAGUUCUUAUCUCCCACUCGCUGUUGUUCAGAGGCAUCAUUUUUUAUUUUCGGUUGGAUUAGGUUAUUGUGUCUGUUUGCUUAGGCGAUUUCUAAAGAGACAUUCUCAUUGCAGUUAUUCUUUGUGAUGGUCGCCUUCCCGUUCUCAAGCCAGUAACAGCUAGAUCCGAUCAGGACCUGGAUGCGCCCACUGAUUCUGGCACGGGAUGUGAGGCAGCAGGGCUGAUGGCUGGCUGCCACUGGGUUCCAUCACAUAAUUAUCACGCAUCAUGUCCCCGAUACCAAAGUAGAGAGGCUUUCUAUUAGUUAAUAACCAGAUCCCAUGAGGAGCUCUGGAGAGGAUUUGUCUGGGUAC
This is a long non-coding RNA of Gallus gallus (chicken), 10824 nucleotides long. Lineage: Eukaryota; Metazoa; Chordata; Aves; Galliformes; Phasianidae. The record is from Ensembl.